RNAcentral lists this ribosomal RNA (780 nucleotides) under Geastrum quadrifidum. RNAcentral describes it as "LSU rRNA". It matches the Rfam family "Eukaryotic large subunit ribosomal RNA", at positions 174 to 937 of the family's 3401-position model. The record is from RNAcentral. Lineage: Eukaryota; Fungi; Basidiomycota; Agaricomycetes; Geastrales; Geastraceae.
ACCGUGUACAAGUCCUUUGGAACAAGGCGUCAUAGAGGGUGAGAAUCCCGUCUAAGACACGGACUGCCAGUGCUCUGUGAUACACUCUCAACGAGUCGAGUUGUUUGGGAAUGCAGCUCAAAAUGGGUGGUAAAUUCCAUCUAAAGCUAAAUACAGGCGAAAGACCGAUAGCGAACAAGUACCGUGAGGGAAAGAUGAAAAGCACUUUGGAAAGAGAGUUAAACAGUACGUGAAAUUGUUGAAAGGGAAACGCUUGAAGUCAGUCGCGUCUUCAGAAAUUCAGCCUGGCUUCUGCCUGGUGUACUUUUCUGUUGGACGGGCCAGCAUCAGUUUUGGCCGCCAGAAAAAGGUGGGAGGAAGGUGGCACCUCCGGGUGUGUUUAUAGCCUCUCAUCGUAUGUGGCGGCUGGGACUGAGGACCGCAGCACGCCUUUAAUGGCCGGGGUUCGCCCACGUAACGUGCUUAGGAUGCUGGCGUAAUGGCUUUAAACGACCCGUCUUGAAACACGGACCAAGGAGUCUAACAUGCCUGCGAGUAUUUGGGUGGUAAACCCAUAUGCGGAAUGAAAGUGAACAGUUGGGACUUCUGUCAUGGAAGGCACCGACGCCCGGACCAGACCUAUUGUGACGGAUCCGAGGUAGAGCAUGUAUGUUGGGACCCGAAAGAUGGUGAACUAUGCCUGAGUAGGGUGAAGCCAGAGGAAACUCUGGUGGAGGCUCGUAGCGAUUCUGACGUGCAAAUCGAUCGUCGAACUUGGGUAUAGGGGCGAAAGACUAAUCG